CGUGUAGGCGGUUUGUUAAGUCUGAUGUGAAAGCCCUGGGCUCAACCCAGGAAGUGCAUUGGAAACUGGCAAACUUGAGUACGGGAGAGGAAAGUGGAAUUCCGAGUGUAGGGGUGAAAUCCGUAGAUAUUCGGAGGAACACCAGUGGCGAAGGCGGCUUUCUGGACCGAUACUGACGCUGAGACGCGAAAGCGUGGGGAGCAAACAGGAUUAGAUACCCUGGUAGUCC
This 229-nucleotide ribosomal RNA is filed under the name uncultured bacterium. Its description in RNAcentral is "partial 16S ribosomal RNA". It matches the Rfam family "Bacterial small subunit ribosomal RNA", at positions 568 to 796 of the family's 1533-position model. The record is from RNAcentral.